RNAcentral lists this ribosomal RNA (793 nucleotides) under uncultured Staphylococcus sp. Its description in RNAcentral is "bacterial SSU rRNA". It matches the Rfam family "Bacterial small subunit ribosomal RNA", at positions 64 to 838 of the family's 1533-position model. The record is from RNAcentral. Lineage: Bacteria; Bacillati; Bacillota; Bacilli; Caryophanales; Staphylococcaceae.
GAGCGAACGGAUGAGAAGCUUGCUUCUCUGAUGUUAGCGGCGGACGGGUGAGUAACACGUGGAUAACCUACCUAUAAGACUGGGAUAACUUCGGGAAACCGGAGCUAAUACCGGAUAAUAUUUUGAACCGCAUGGUUCACAAGUGAAAGACGGUCUUGCUGUCACUUAUAGAUGGAUCCGCGCUGCAUUAGCUGGUUGGUAAGGUAACGGCUUACCAAGGCAACGAUGCAUAGCCGACCUGAGAGGGUGAUCGGCCACACUGGAACUGAGACACGGUCCAGACUCCUACGGGAGGCAGCAGUAGGGAAUCUUCCGCAAUGGGCGAAAGCCUGACGGAGCAACGCCGCGUGAGUGAUGAAGGUCUUCGGAUCGUAAAACUCUGUUAUUAGGGAAGAACAUAUGUGUAAGUAACUGUGCACAUCUUGACGGUACCUAAUCAGAAAGCCACGGCUAACUACGUGCCAGCAGCCGCGGUAAUACGUAGGUGGCAAGCGUUAUCCGGAAUUAUUGGGCGUAAAGCGCGCGUAGGCGGUUUUUUAAGUCUGAUGUGAAAGCCCACGGCUCAACCGUGGAGGGUCAUUGGAAACUGGAAAACUUGAGUGCAGAAGAGGAAAGUGGAAUUCCGUGUGUAGCGGUGAAAUGCGCAGAGAUAUGGAGGAACACCAGUGGCGAAGGCGACUUUCUGGUCUGUAACUGACGCUAAUGUGCGAAAGCGUGGGGAUCAAACAGGAUUAGAUAUCCUGGUAGUCCACGCCGUAAACGAUGAGUGCUAAGUGUUAGGGGGUUUCCGCCC